CUCAUUUGGAUGCUCUCCUUCGCCCUCCGUGUCAGUAGAGCCUUUCUAAUUUGUUUUAAUUGUUAAUUUUAAUGAGUAGUGUUUUUCUGAUAACAUUUUAGCAUGUUUUGUUGUUUUAGAGAGGGUUUUUAUUGCAUUGCACAAAGCCUGAAGCACCUCAAUGUGGGAGCAAUUUGGAAGCUAAAUUAUUAUUAUUUAUUUAAAUCAAACCCUCCAGCCUCUUUAACCGUUUGGCUGAUUCUGUAAUUGCAGUACCAGUGUGAUGGAAAUGCUCAUGGGGCUGGCAAGGAAGCGUCUGGGUACUCUUCUCAGCUCUGUGACCAUGGCAUAUCCCCAGCCACUGGUUCUGCUUCCUGGGAAGAUUUUUUGGAUCCAGAGCUGUGCUGUUACUCCAGGUUUGCCCGUUUGGAGGCACCUGGAGUAGGACACGAGUAGAAACCUUCUGUUUCAGGGUCUCGUGCCAUCCAUGGAAUAAGCAAAAUUUGGGGGUAUGCAGCAAAGCACCAAUUUCAGCUCAGUUUUUAUCUGGUUGUGGCAGCAGGGCAGGGUGCAGCUGGGGCUGAAUUGCUUUUGGAAAGGGUGGUGCUUCUUUGAUGUGAAGUCACAACAGUCCUUAGGUCAAGGGCAUCUAUGAUGCUCUUUGAAGCUCUCUCCUGUCCCUUUGCUGCCGUGGCCAGUGGGGCUGUGUGGGUGCACCAUGCCCCUGGGGCCCCUGAGACACUUCAUGGCUCCAAGAGGCCACCAAGACUCACCAGACUGUGUCCAGUUAAAAAUCUUCAGAUAGCUCAAGACAAGAACGUGGGCAGCCUCGAGUCCCUCGCCAAUGCCAGCAGAAUGUACAGGCGGCAUCCAGCCGAGCACCUCCGGACAGAGGAGCAGGGAGAGAGCCUGGAAUUCCCUGCUGGGAUCAGCACUGCUCGUCCUGCUCAGCUUCCCCCCAGGACAGGGGCAAGCAGGCUGACUGCCUGCCCCUCUCAGCUCCUCCAGGAAAGCGAUUCCCGGCUGUCAGUGCCGAUACAGUGAACCCCAGCACUGUCCUGCAGGGAUAAAUGAUGCCGAUGAGAGCAGAGAUACUCGUUUGAAGGAUCCAGAUUGCAAAAUAAUGACACAGCAUUUGCGAGGGGUGGGAGCAAGACGGGUUAAUUACUUCAGAGGAAGCACAUCACCUUUGGUGUAGGGUCAAACCUCCUCGCUCUGGAAAUCUGCUGGUAUUACCCUGCUCUAAGGGGUCACUUGGCACCGCCUGGGAGCAGUGACGUGUGCAGCUAAUGUGAUUUACAAACCUCUGGUUUGGACCAUCAGUGGAUGAUGGUCCUUCAAGGGGGAAGGGAUCACCUGGUUCGUCUAUUUUCCUUCCACAAAGAUCUCGAGGCAAAAGGUUUCCUUGUGGCUAGGGAAAUUCAGAUGGGAUGAGUGGUUGAUUAGCAUAGCUGCAGGGCUGGAGGACACCAGCCAAAACCACUACCAUCAACUGGGCAGACUGGGAUGAUGGGAGAUCCAGAGGGACUGGAAGAAGGCAUGACCUCCUCCUGUGCCUGCACACUGCCAGGAACAGUCAUG
Cyanistes caeruleus (blue tit) is the source of this 1560-nucleotide long non-coding RNA. Lineage: Eukaryota; Metazoa; Chordata; Aves; Passeriformes; Paridae. The record is from Ensembl.